GCCAGGCAUGGUGGCGCGUGCCUGUAAUCCCAGCUACUUGGGAGGCUGAGGCAGCAGAAUCGCUUGAACCUGGGAAGCUCGGAGGUUGCAGUGAGCCAAGAUCACGCCAUUGCACUCCAGCCUGGGUUACAGAGCAAGACUCUGUCUCAA
This 150-nucleotide small RNA is filed under the name Callithrix jacchus (white-tufted-ear marmoset). RNAcentral's name for it is "Metazoan signal recognition particle RNA (ENSCJAG00000080694.1)". Lineage: Eukaryota; Metazoa; Chordata; Mammalia; Primates; Cebidae. The record is from Rfam by way of RNAcentral.